RNAcentral lists this ribosomal RNA (490 nucleotides) under uncultured bacterium. Its description in RNAcentral is "partial 16S ribosomal RNA". It matches the Rfam family "Bacterial small subunit ribosomal RNA", at positions 28 to 507 of the family's 1533-position model. The record is from RNAcentral.
GAUGAACGCUGGCGACGGGCUUAACACAUGCAAGUCGAGCGGCAGCACGCGGGUUGCUUGGGGUCCUCGAUGGGGACAGGGGCACGGGUCAGUAGAGCGUACUCACCCUGACCUUCACCUAGCGUUAAGCCAGCGAAGGUAGGACCGAUUACGAGCGUCUUCUGCUUGCGGCGGCCGAGUAGGUCGCGGCGUUUGGGGAUGGAGGAGGGGGUUGCCGCCGAUUUGCUGGACGGGGGGGUGACGGCCCCCCGUGGGGACGAUCGGUAGGGGUUCGGAGAGGAAGGUCCCCCACACUGGAACUGAGACACGGUCCAGACUCCUACGGGAGGCAGCAGUGAGGAAUAUUGGUCAAUGGGCGUAAGCCUGAACCAGCCAAGUAGCGUGCAGGAUGACGGCCCUAUGGGUCGUAAACUGCUUUUAGGCGGGGAUAAAGUGGCCCACGUGUGGGUUUUUGCAGGUACCGCAUGAAUAAGGACCGGCUAAUUCCGUG